GACAGAGGUGCCAAGCGUUAGGCGGAAUCACUGGGCUUAAAGCGUGUGUAGGCGGGUGCCUAAGUACCUUGUGAAAUCCCCCGGCUCAACCGGGGAACGGCUGGGUAUACUGGGUGCCUUGGGUCAUCUAGGGGCUGCCGGAACACAUGGUGGAGCGGUGAAAUGCGUAGAUAUCAUUUGGAACGCCAACGGCGAAAGCAGGCAGCUGGGGAUGCACCGACGCUGAGACACGAAAGCCAGGGGAGCGAACAGG
This 253-nucleotide ribosomal RNA is filed under the name uncultured bacterium. RNAcentral describes it as "partial 16S ribosomal RNA". It matches the Rfam family "Bacterial small subunit ribosomal RNA", at positions 524 to 776 of the family's 1533-position model. The record is from RNAcentral.